Capsicum annuum is the source of this 1543-nucleotide long non-coding RNA. RefSeq lists it as uncharacterized. NCBI's taxonomy places the organism in Eukaryota, Viridiplantae, Streptophyta, Magnoliopsida, Solanales, Solanaceae. The transcript has 3 exons. The record is from RefSeq and is a predicted model, not a curated record.
AAAAUCAUCUAUGGCAAUGCUUAAUGGGUAAAAAAAAUCUAUUGCAUUGCUUUGUUUUAUUCCCUCCAUAAAAUUUCACAAGACCUCCCAAAAAAAUCAUUUUGAUAAAACACUUUUUGAUCUCUUAAACCCAAAAAUUGAUAAUAUCCCUACAAUAAUAUCUACUGUGGAGACCGUAUACUGUAUCGCCGGUGUAGUGUGCUACAAUAUCUUCCAUGGUCUUCAAUUUCUAAGGAGUGACGCUACAAUACCGCCAGUAGUCUUCAAUUUUGAGGAGUGACGCUACAAUAUCGCUGGUAGUCUUCAAUUUCUGAGGGAUGACGCUACAUAAUUUUUGUGGUGUUGUAGUUCAAAGGGUCUUCAAUUUCAAUCGCUUCAAUUUGGGGAUUUUAAGAGUAUGUUGGGAAUUAUUCUUGGAGGUGGAGCUGGAACCAGACUUUAUUCUCUAACUAGAGAAAGAGAAAGGCCAGUAGUUCCACUUGGAGAAAAUUAUCAUUUGAUUUAAAUUCCCAUAAGCAUUUGCUUAAACAGUAACAUAUCCAAGAUAUAUGUUCACACACAUUCAACUCUGCGUCUUUGAAUUGCCACCUUUCACGGGCAUAUGCUUGCGACAUGGGUGGAUACAAAAAUGAGGUCUUUGGGGAGGUUCUUGCUGCUCAACAAAGUCCGGAGAACACCGAUUGUUUCCAGGUCUUGAUGACAAGAGAGCUAAAGAAAUGCCUUUCAUCGGGAUGCUAGGUAUAUAUUUCAUUAGCAAAGAUGUGAAGUUAAAACUACUUCGUGACAAGUUCCCUAGCGCCAAUGAUUUUGGUAGUGAAGUUAUUCCUGGUGCAACUUGACGAGUGGUGAGUUUACCACUCAAUCACACUCAUUAUUUGUGCUCAUUACCUUGUUAUGGGUGAAUAAAUGAGACAAUUGUGAUUAGAUGCACUAAUAUCCACUUAGGCAUAGAGUCAAAGGAUUGAAAAUAUGUGGAUUGGAGCUCAAAAUGAUCAGAAGGGGAGCAAGAAAGUGCAGUUGAAGACCUAAAAUAGAAUGGCCUCAGGUACUGCGGUCGCGAUCGGCUAACCACAGUUGCGGUAGUCAAGGAUGCUCAAUUAAUCAUGGUCGCAGAGAUAAACUGUAGUCACAUAGCCGCGGUCGCAGUCAGGCCUACACAAUCGCGGCCUAGCGGAGGAUUUCAGCCCAAGGGCGAAACUGUAAUUGCACAUGCUGAUCCUAAUUUGCCAAAAAUGACUCAAACCCUAUCAUUAUUUAAUCAAUUCCAUCUUUCCUAAUUUUUAGGUUUAGUUUUGUGUAGUUCAUAGCCUCCAUUUUUGGAGAAAAUAUUGUAUAAAUUUUGAGUGAAGAAUACAUUGGGGACUUUCUAAGUAGAAGAUUUGCUCACUUCCAUUGUUGAUAUUGUGGGAGAGCCAAGUUUGAAGCAACAUUUGCUUAAAUCUCCAACAAAUCAUUUCAGUGGAGAUUAUGGGUAUAUCAAAGCUUAUUUAUCUUAUGUAUAACUAAAUUUCCCUCGUGGGGUUAUGUAACACCCCGUAUUCAA